GACGAAUGUUGGCGGCGUGCUUAACACACGCAAGUCGAACGAAAAGGCCCUGCUUUUGUGGGGUGCACGAGUGGCCAACGGGUGAGUAUCACGUGAGUACCCUGCCCUCGAUUUUGGGAUAACUUCGGGAAACUGGGGCUAAUACCGGAUAGGAGCUCCUGCUGCAUGGUGUGGGUUGGAAAGUUUCGGCGGUUGGGGAUGGACUCGCGGCCUAUCAGCUUGUUGGUGGGGUAGUGGCUUACCAAGGCUUUGACGGGUAGCCGGCCUGAGAGGGUGACCGGCCACAUUGGGACUGAGAUACGGCCCAGACUCCUACGAGAGGCAGCAGUGGGGAAUAUUGCACAAUGGGCGGAAGCCUGAUGCAGCAACGCCGCGUGCGGGAUGACGGCCUUCGGGUUGUAAACCGCUUUCGCCUGUGACGAAGCGUGAGUGACGGUAAUGGGUAAAGAAGCACCGGCUAACUACGUG
RNAcentral lists this ribosomal RNA (468 nucleotides) under uncultured bacterium. RNAcentral describes it as "partial 16S ribosomal RNA". It matches the Rfam family "Bacterial small subunit ribosomal RNA", at positions 28 to 507 of the family's 1533-position model. The record is from RNAcentral.